GACGAACGCUGGCGGCGUGCUUAACACAUGCAAGUCGAACGGACAGGCCCUGCUUUUGUUGGUUGCUCGAUUGGCGAACGCGUGAGUAACACGUGUGUAACCUCCCCUUAUCUUUGUGAUAUCUUCAGGAAACUGCGGCUCUUACCGCAUAUGAUCUCUUGCUGCAUGGUGGUCGUUGGUAAGUUUCGGCGGUUGGGGAUGGUCUCGCGGGUUCUCAGCUUGUUGGUGGGGUAGUGGUUUACCAAGGGUUUGAAGGGUAGCCGACCUGAGAGGUUUGACGGCGACAUGGGGACUGAGAGACGGAGCAGAAGCGUACGGGAGGCAGCAGGGGGGAAUAUUACAGAAUGGGGGGAAGCCUGAUACAGAAAUGUCGGGAGCGGGAUGAUGGGCUUCGGGGUGUAAACCGAUGUCGACGGUGACGAAGCGGGAGUGACGGUAAUGGGUAAAGAAGCAACGGCUAACUACGUG
RNAcentral lists this ribosomal RNA (468 nucleotides) under uncultured bacterium. RNAcentral describes it as "partial 16S ribosomal RNA". It matches the Rfam family "Bacterial small subunit ribosomal RNA", at positions 28 to 507 of the family's 1533-position model. The record is from RNAcentral.